Oryzias latipes (Japanese medaka) is the source of this 433-nucleotide non-coding RNA. The record is from the annotation of a RefSeq genome assembly. NCBI's taxonomy places the organism in Eukaryota, Metazoa, Chordata, Actinopteri, Beloniformes, Adrianichthyidae.
AUGGCAGCGUCUCCCACCUUUUUGAAUGGAGUGAGGAUCAAGAAUUUUGUAUCACUGUGGUGGACUUUUGGUGGAGGAACCAGACUGGAGGUUGAUUUGGGUCAUGUUCCCCCCAAGCUGACAGUGCUGUCCCCCUCCAUGCAUGAGGGGAAGGCCACACUCCUGUGUCUGGCCAACAAUGGCUUCCCUUCAGGCUGGACUCUGUCCUGGAAGGUGGGCGGCAGCAGCAUCAGCAGCAGCUGGGAGGAGAGCAGGAGCCCCGGGGUGCUGCAGAAGGACGGCCUCUACAGCUGGAGCAGCACCCUGAGGCUCCCUGCAGACCAGUGGGAGAAGCUGGACUCUGUGACCUGUGAGGCCACCCAGGACUCCCAGACUCCAGUCCCAGAGACUCUGUGGAGAAACCAGUGUUCCUAGUCACCACCUGACUGACUGG